GGGGUCUCGGUGCUGCGGAGCGAUCCUGCGGUUCGGGACCCCCGGGAUCUGCGUGGCCCAGAGAGGCUGGGCCACUCGGAGCGUCCGGGCCGCCUGCCUCCAGCAGCUCUGCCUCAGACCUGACGGUCAACCCCAUCCGUGCGACUUUAGGGCUGUCGUUUCGUCUCCUUAAGCUAAAGAUGCGUACCACUAACCCCGGUGCCUCCCCAAGGGCAUGAGUACUAGAGGGGGCAGAUCCUGGCCCCAAGUGGGACCCUACGGUCUGGUUUUCUGGAGCCAGAAAACAGUUGUUUUGACUUGUCUUAUACCACGUGAUCUCCCUGAGCGCUCCCUUGGAUGUGUUAAUUUGCUUGCUGCGGUCAGCCCCUUGAGGCAUGAAGCCCGGCGGACCUACUUUUCGUCUUCUCACCUUUUAAUUGCUUUUGUUCCGUUACAGAAAUUGACACCUGUCGUUCCGAAUGGACUCCGAAGAAAACUGUCCAAAGUAGCGAGCGGCUACUAAAGGGCAGGACAGGCGGUGUAGGUACUGUACCCUUGCAGUCUUUGCCCCAAAGGGAACCUAGGAUCUAAGUGCGGGCCAAAGAGGUGGGGGCUGCUAAAGAGAAUCCUUAAGAGUGUAUAGUAAAUAUGCUUCAGUUUCUGUGAGUUCAUAUGAGCUUUGCUCAUGUUGAUUUAGAUGGCCUGGUUUUCUUCGUGUCCUCCAUCCCCUCUGGUUUUUAUACUCUUUCCUGUGUCUUCCUUGGUGUUCCCUGAGCUCCAAGGGGAGGGAUUUGAUGGAGCCAUCCAUUUUCCAAGGUCUCUCACUCUCUGCGUAAUGUCUGGCUGUGGGUCUCUAUUUUUGUGCUCAUCUGGUGCAGGAGGAAGUUUCUCUGAUGAUGUCUGAACAAGACACUGAUGUAUGAGUAUAGGAGAGCAUCAUUAGGAGUCAUUUUAUCACUACAUUUUUUAAAGACCAGUAUUAUUUGGUUUUACUCUAAGUCUCUGGGCUAUCUAGUCUCUGGUCACCCCAAGCAUGUCGGGUAUAUGGAUUCCAUCUCCUGAAAUCAAAGUCCAAUCAGUUUUUGGUUGGUUACUCCCAUACGCUUUGGCCACCAUUGCCCUAGUAUAUCUUGCAGGCAGGACAUCACUGUAGGUCAAAGGGUUUGUGGCUGGUUCGGUGUUUGGUUUCACUUUUGGUAAUGUGCAAAGUGCCUUCCUGUACGAAAGACGCUAGAGCAUAGGGGAGAAGGCUCUAUGAGGGCACCCGCUCGACAGCUCCAGGUUCAGUGGGUUAUGUAGGUGCUGUCUGCAGCGGUGGGACCUGCUGUCGGUUUGUGGAGAGCAACAUGUAGUCUCGGCAACACCCUGGGUUGUUUGAGGAUUCCCAUGGGGUCCUUUUGGCCAACAACUCAAUUAGGUGUAACCCACUCCCUGCACUGGAAGUUUCAUUUGGUGACAAGAGAUGGCCAGGUGGGACUGUGUCCAGCAUUAUUUGGAGAUUCACUUAGGUUGCCUUCAUAUAUGUAUAUAUUUUAGGAAGUUUCUCCUGUAUUAGGCUUCCAUACUACCCCUCAAAUGCUUCUUCCAACCCUCCCUCCCCUCCCCACUUGAUUCUUCCAUUCCAUCCCCCCAUCCAUCCAUAACACUUUCCUAAUAAGAUCUGUCUGUUCCCUCUUGUCCCUUACUCUAUACCUACCCUCUGUGGUUUUAUGGAAUUGUAGAUUGGUUAUCAUUGACUUAACAGCUGAUAUCCACAUAUAACUGAACACAUACCAUAUUUGUCUUUCUGGAUCUGGAAUACCUCACUUGGGAUGAUUUUUUUUUUCUAGCUCCAUCUAUUUGCUUAUAAAUUUCAUGUUGCCUUUUUUUUUUAAAUGGCUGAGUAAUACUCCAUUGUGUAAAUGUACCACAUUAUCUUUAUUCAUUCUUCUCCUGAGGGACAUCUAGGUGGUUUCCAGUUUCUGGCUAUUAUGAAUGGAGCAGCAGUGAAUAUGGCUGAACAAGUGUCUCUGUGGCAGGAUAAAUCGUUCUUUGGAUAUAUGCUCAAGAGUGGUAUAGCUGGAUUUUAAGGUAGAUUCCCAUCUUCCUGAGGAACUGUGGGCGUGGGUCUUCACCAGGUCCUCUAUGUUUAUAGUAUGGCCUCCAGUUUAUGUUUUUAUGGGAUUUCUGAGUGUUCAAAUGAGUAGGUCUCUGAUUCUUGUGCCUUCUUUUGGAUUCUUUUCCUUCUGUUCAUCUCACUUUGAUGUGGUAGUUUUUGUUUUUUAAGGAAGCCUGGGACAUUUUUAAAAAUUUAUUAAUUAAUUAUGUAUACAGUGUUCUGCCUGCAUGUGUGCCUGCAUGCCAGAAGAGGGCACCAGAUCUCAUCAUAGAUGGUUGUAAGCCAUCAUGUGGUUGCUGGAAUUGAACUCAGGACCUCUGAAAGAGCAGCCAGUGCUCUUAACCUUUGAGCCAUCUCUCCAGCUAGUUUUUGUUUUAUCUUAUUAUAUUUUAUUUUGUUAUGUUUAAAAAAUGAAUGAGAGGCUGGAGAGAUGGCUCUGCAGUUAAGAGCACUGGCUGCUCUUCCAGAGGACCCAAGUUCAAUUUCCAGCACCCACAUGACAGCUCACAACUGUCUGUAAUUCCAGUUCCAGGGAUCUGACACCCUCACACAGACAUACAUGCAGGCAAAACACCAAUGCACAUAAAAUAAAAAUAAAUUUAAAAAAUGAAUGAAAACCUAGCCACUGGGUUUAAGGUUAACUAACAACUGAACUGUCAUUUAUACUAGCUGGGAGAGAGAAAAUCAGUUUUCUCCAAUGGAGUGACACUGGGUAUAUCAACCACUCUAGGGCAGUCCUCAUGUUCAGGAGUAGUUGACCAAUAUAUAAUGGAUUCCACAGUUUUUUGGUUGCUUUUAUUUGGUUACAGUUUUAUUUUUAUUUUUGGGAGUUGUUUUAUUUUCUUGGUAUUAUUGUAGUAUUGGGUGUUUGUAUUUUGUUUUUUGAGAAACAACUUGAAGUUGGGAGGGGGAGAGGAUCUGAAACGACUUGGGGAAGGGGAAGAAUAUGAUAAAGUAUAUUUAAAUGUAAAAGUUAUUUUUAAAUAAUUAAAAACAUAAUAAAAAAAGAGUACCCAGAGUAGCUGGAUAAUAAGCCUCUCCCUACCCCAAUUUACUUAUUUUGUGUGUGGAGGUCUGUAGAUGAUUUUAUAUAGUCUUCUCUCUCUUCCCACCUUUAUGUGGGGAUGGAACUUAGGCCAGGCUUGCCCAGCAAAUGCUUGUACUCUCAGCCAUCCCCAACCCCAAGCUCUACCGGUCUGAGCUUUGGUCCAACUCACCUGGACUUUAGCCUCUAAAGGUCAAGGACACAAAGUCUGCUUCCAGGGUGCCCUCAUCCUAUUUGGGGGUCAUCAGGUCAAUAGUUUUGGUGGUAUUGUGUUCCCCAAAAUAUUGUGCACCUUAAUAAACUUAUCUGGGAUCAGAGAACAGAACAGCCACUAGAUACAUUGGCUAGAAAAUGGUGGCACUCAUGCCUUUAAUCCUAGCAUUCCAGAGGCAGAAAUCCGUCUGGAUCUCUGUGAGUUCAAGGCCACAUUGGAAACAGCCAGGCAUGGUGACACACGCCUUUAAUCCCAGAAAGUGAGGGCAGAAAGCAGAAAAGUAUUUAAGGCGUGAAGACCAGAAACUAGAAGCUUUUAGCUGGUUAAGCUUUUAGGCUUCUAGCAGCAAUUCAGCUGAGAGCCAUUCAGAUGAGGACAUAGAGGCUUCCAGUUUGAGGAAACAGGAUCAGCUGAGGAGUUGGUGAGGCGAGGUAGCUGUGGCUUGUUCUGCUUCUCUGCUCUUCCAGCAUUCACCCCAACAACUGGCACUGGGUUUGUUUUUUAUUAAUAAGACCUUUUAAGAUUCGUGCUACAAAUAGUUCUCUCAGUAGAAGUGAACCCUCCUCCACAGCUGCAGACAGAUUGGGUCUGAGUGUUUGGCUGCACAGUUAAUGGCUCACAAAGAGUACUACAAACUAAAGACACAUAAACUAUUAUUUUGACCUGGGCAUUGGUGGCACAUGCCUUUAAUCCCAGCACUCAGGAGGCAGAGGCAGGCGGAUCUCUGUGAGUUCAAGGCCAGCCUGGGCUACAGAGUGAGAUCCAGGAUAGCCAGGGCUACACAGAGAAAUCUGUCUCAAAACCAAAACAAAUAAUCAAAAAACAAACAAACCAAAAAAAACGCCUGAUGCUUGAUCUCACCUGAUACACACUCUGCUGAACUAGCCUUACUUCCCAACCCCUACAUUACUUAGAAGUAGAUUUUUUUUUUAGUCUCUCCCUCAUUUUAAAAAUCCACCACCAAGGGCCUGGAGUCCAGGGGCCAUCAGUUUUUAUAACAAGAUCUAAAAUAAUCCGCAUACAUUAUAAUCAAGACACCUUAUGACACUCUCGCCGUCCCGUCCCUCUAUCAGCCUAACCCUGAAUUAGCUCCACAUUGAAUGACUAGGGACUAGGGAGUAACUGUCACGAGUUACCGCCCUAGGGUACCCUUCCCACCCGUGUGGCCUGAGCCCGGUAGCGGCGGCCCACUUCAGGGCUCAUUGGAACCCUCCCUCAGUGGUUUCCCUGUAAAAUGUCUCCUAGGAAGGAAGGCAGCAGUUGCAGUAGAACAUCUGGUAGGUAGGAGCCUUGCUUUUGCCCAAUGGGUGCCCCAAGGAGCCUUGAAAAGAGCGGUACCAUGUUGAUAAGCAAGCUCAUACCUGGAGUUCUUCUUAACUAAGCGAGCCGCUGAGUAGAUUUGUGCCUUUAGAUGGCCUUCUUAGGGCAUUUCAGGUGAUGAGGGAAUAUUUUGGGGGGGCUCCCAAGAGAGAUGAGACCCUGUCUCACUAUGUAGCCCAAACUGGUCUCGAACUCCCGAUCUUCUUCCUCAGCCUCCUGAAUGCUGCGUUUGGGAAUCCACCGUCAAAUGGAGGUGGAAAUGUCAUUAGCCUAUUUUCUUCUUUAGCCCUUCCUUCUGGAAUUCCCCGUGGGAGGCAAUAGAUUCAGAGUUUGGUGUCAGACACUUCUGGACACAGACCUCAGCUCUAAAGGGCACAGUCUCUUUACAGUUUAUGGAGGAAGUAUUGAACGGAACAUGAUAACCUUCAAUAAGCUGGUCUGUAUUUCAUGAGUCACAUGGGGAAGCUGAAGGAACAGACUGAACUGCACUCAGGAAUAUUCCCAAGUCAUUUGUGAGGCAGGGCUUGGUACUAAGCCCUGGGGGGAAGGGAAGAGACUUGAAGAGGAAGGAGAUACGGUUCUUGCCCUGUCAGGGUUUCUAACCCCAUAGAGAACUCAGUCCAGAAGGCACUUCCUGUCACUAUGGUGAACACUAGAGGAAUGAGCCCCGGUUAUGCAGUUUCCAAACCAGGGCUCUUCACACACGUUCCAGGCCCCGGUUUCCAGCACUUCCCAGCAUCCAGUCUCACAGUGGCUGGAUUGUCUUUUCCUGUCCCCUGGCAUUGGGCUUCACCCAGUGGCUUGCUUUGGCCUUUGCCAGGAAGAACAAAGUGAGCAUAUGCAGAGGCUUCCUGACGUUGUGCUGGUCUCUGCUGUCACAGAAGAGCCUCUCUUGGGUACCUGCUGCCUCUCCAGCCUGGAUGGUGGAGUCAACAAGGGUCGAUCUGGGCUGCAGGGAGUUGGAAACCAGCCAGCAUUGUGGUGUCACUAACACAGCCAGCUGAAGACCAACAAAGAUUCUUGUUCUAACCCCUACAUUUCAGAACGGUUUGUUCCACUGUGUUAUUGUCGCAAUGGCUAGCCCGUUCCUUUUAUUAGGGUCUAAGUUCAUGCCGAAAGAAAGAACCAGCACACAGUUGCUUAAGAAAGAAGCUUAUUGAGUUCUCAUGGAAUAAUGUGGUUAAGUCCAGGGCAGGGCACCAGGUGGUUCUGUGGAUAAAGGUGCUUGCUGCUGCUGUGAGCCCAAGCCUGAGUCUGAUAUACAGAAUCCACAUAAAGGUUGGAGGAUAGAAUCCACACCACAGAGCUGUGCUCUGACCUCUGUAUACACACUGCCCCUCCUCUACCAUGGUCUUGCCACACUGCCCCCCUCUGUCAUAGUCUUACCCCACAUAUACAAUAGUAAAAAGGAGUCCAGAUAUAGCUCAGUUGGCAGUGAUUGUCCUGCUUAUUAACCUCUGGGUUCCAUCCCAGCACCGAGGCAUGAUGGCACAGUCCUGUAAUCCCAGCACUCAGGAGGUUGAAACAGUAGGGUCAUAAUAUCAAAGUCUUUCUUACAUAGUAGUUGGGCAGCAGCCUGAGCUACAUGAGACCCUGUCUCAAAAAAAACAAUUAUUUUAGAGCUAAAGCCCAUCAUUUACAGGGCUGAGGCAGGAGGAUCAAAGUGAGUUCAAAGCUAGCCUGAGCUACAGUGUUGAGACCCAAUCUCAAUCCCUCACCCCAACAACAAAAAGGCCAGAGCAAAUUUGGUAGCCCAUGUAUGAGGCUCCUGGCUUUCUUUUUUUCAGAGCUAAAUUAUAUAUGUAUUAUAAUACAUACAUACACACACAUAUAUGGGAUUUUGCACAAAUGUGGGUGUCAUCCUUGAACAGGGUCUUGUUAAUCUCUGUAUCAUUCCAACUUUACUAUAUGUACUGUCAAAGGGAGCCCUUGAAAUGAAAUUUGGCCGUGUGUGUGUGUGUGUGUGUGUGUGUGUGUGUGUGUGUGUGUGUGUUGGAAGGGAACAUGCCACCGUGUGCAUGUGGAGGUCAAAGGACAUUUGUAGGAGUUUUUUCUUCUACCAUGUAGAUUCCUGGGACUGAACUCAGGGCUGAACUCCCUGGCUGAGCCUUGAUGCAUGGAGCCCUCUGGCUGCCUCCAGGAUCUGCCUUAUUGCUGCAUCUUCCUCGGGAUGGAUACUGCCUUCCUCUGAAGCUUCCAUAGCAUCCACACAUCUAAAUCUCAAUUUCCUUCAGCUGCAGAUGCCCAAACUUUUCACAUUGUGCACCAAACCCUCCUUCAAUGGCACCAUUUAACAGAAAGCCUCUACUUUAUCCUUUUCCACUUCUGCUGUGGGCUUCAAGUCCCACCCCCACCCCCAGGGCUUGGGGACUAGGAUGUGUUCCCCUCUCUCCUCUCCUCCAGGUCUCAAGAUGUCAGAUCUUCAUCCCACCAAGACAUUAGGAGCCAGAGCUUGUGGGGCCUGGUAAGAGGUCUGAGCCUCCAGGUGGGUGUCCGUCUGGGCAAUGUUAUCUGUGUUGGGAAGCCCAAAGGUCAUGGUCCUGUGUUGUAGAAUAUUAUUUUAAGGUGUGUUACUUUUGUUUAUGUUGCAUCUGUUUAGCUCUGUGAAGCUGUGUUACUGUGCCUGUGUAAAACACCUGAUGGUCUAAUAAAGAACUGGCCAAUGACAAGGCAGGAGAAAAGAUAGGUGGGGUUGGCAGACAGAAUAUAUAGAAGGAGAAAUCUGCCAGAGAAGGAGAAGGACUCUAGUAACAAGCCACCCAGCUACACAGCAAGCCACAGAGUAAGAUUUACAGAAGUAAGAGAAUGGGAAAUGCCCAGAGGCAAAAGGUAGAUGGGAUAAGUUAAGGAAACAUGGCAAGAAACAAGCCAAAAUAAGGUCGGACAUUUAUAAUUAAGAAUAAGCCUCCAUGUGAUUUAUUUGGGAACUGGGUGGCAAGCCCCUCCAAAAGAGCCCAAGAGCCAAAAGAGCAAAAACAAACAAAAACAGUCCUGCACAGACAGUGUUUAAAGAAGUGGUCCUUCUUUAUAGACACUCUCCCUGGCAGUGGUUUAAAAAAGGGCUAUGUUUUCAGGGGUCUGCUGAUCAUCUGCCUUCAUUACAGACAGAAUAAACUAAGGAUCAGUUUCAGGCAUUUCAGCAGUCAUCACCUUACUGGGCCUCUGACAGUCUCCACCAUGUAACUGCUUGUGGACCUCCCUACGAUUCAAGAGCCUGGACCAUCCAUUUGUCUACCCAUAGCGUGGCAGGCAUCUGGGUACCUUCAAGGACAGGUUCGGGAAACCUGGGAACCACACACUUCAUGACUCCCUGGACAGAGGUGCUGCUAGUCAUAGGUGCUUGUAUGAGAUCCACGAGGGAGAAGAAAUGGCUGCCAUCUGAUUCCUCCUCCGUCAUAGUGAUGUGCAGCUCCAGAGGCCACCUGGACACUCCCACACCAGUCAGCAGCCUGGGGAACUGACCUUAGCAGUGUUUCCAAAUGACCGAUGUUUCCAGAUGACCGACUCCUUGACUAUCUGGAAAGCAGCUGUGACAAAGGAAACUAAAAGCUAGAGGUACAGUCCCUCACCAGCUGUCACCAACCCCAGCACCUUCAACAAAAAGCACUAAUGACUUGGACAAAAUCCCUUCGGAGACACAACAGUAGCGGACAGACUUUUGGGGAAGUGGAAGAGGAACUCUGGUAGGGAGAGGAGAGGACACAGUGAGGAGGAGGUGAAUAUGAUCAAAGUGUGUCAUACACAUAACAAGGGGCGGGGGAGAUGGUUCAGUAACCAAAGGACGUGUACCACUUUUACAGAGAGCCUGGGUUCAGUUCCCAGCACCCACGCCAGGUGACUCACGACCAGCUUUAACUCCAGCUCCAGGGGAUGUGAGGCCCUCCUGUGGCCUCUGUGGACACCUGCACCCACAUGCACAAACCCAUACACAAUGGGUACACAUCAUUAACAAAUAAAAUAAAGCAGAAAGUCAUAAUGAAACCCA
Long non-coding RNA from Peromyscus californicus insignis, 8641 nucleotides. RefSeq lists it as uncharacterized. NCBI's taxonomy places the organism in Eukaryota, Metazoa, Chordata, Mammalia, Rodentia, Cricetidae. The transcript is spliced from 2 exons. The record is from RefSeq and is a predicted model, not a curated record.